GAUGAACGCUGGCGGCGUGCCUAAUACAUGCAAGUCGAGCGAACAGACGAGGAGCUUGCUCCUCUGACGUUAGCGGCGGACGGGUGAGUAACACGUGGAUAACCUACCUAUAGGACUGGGAUAACUUCGGGAAACCGGAGCUAAUACCGGAUAAUAUAUUGAACCGCAUGGUUCAAUAGUGAAAGACGGUUUUGCUGUCACUUAUAGAUGGAUCCGCGCCGCAUUAGCUAGUUGGUAAGGUAACGGCUUACCAAGGCAACGAUGCGUAGCCGACCUGAGAGGGUGAUCGGCCACACCGGAACUGAGACACGGUCCAGACUCCUACGGGAGGCAGCAGUAGGGAAUCUUCCGCAAUGGGCGAAAGCUUGACGGAGCAACGCCGCGUGAGUGAUGAAGGUCUUCGGAUCGUAAAACUCUGUUAUUAGGGAAGAACAAAUGUGUAAGUAACUAUGCACGUCUUGACGGUACCUAAUCAGAAAGCCACGGCUAACUACGUG
RNAcentral lists this ribosomal RNA (497 nucleotides) under uncultured bacterium. RNAcentral describes it as "partial 16S ribosomal RNA". It matches the Rfam family "Bacterial small subunit ribosomal RNA", at positions 28 to 507 of the family's 1533-position model. The record is from RNAcentral.